Molecule: transfer RNA, 53 nt
Filed under: Convolvulus scoparius
Lineage: Eukaryota; Viridiplantae; Streptophyta; Magnoliopsida; Solanales; Convolvulaceae
Description: partial tRNA-His
Rfam family: tRNA
About the family: Transfer RNA (tRNA) molecules are approximately 80 nucleotides in length. Their secondary structure includes four short double-helical elements and three loops (D, anti-codon, and T loops).
Source: RNAcentral
GGGCGGAUGUAGCCAAGUGGAUUAAGGCGGUGGAUUGUGAAUCCACCAUGCGC